AUCACCAGAGAUGAGAGCACAGGAGGAGAGAGAGGGGUGGAAAUAAUUCUUCCGCUGUUCCCUUUCUGCUGCAGGGCUCAGCUGUGACAUGGGUAGCAUCCUGCCCCUCCAGGAUUCAGCUCCUGCCAGGGGGCCCCGGCACCCUGCCUUCAGUUCACAAGGAUACAGACUGGCGUGGCUGCCAAGGCCCUUGCUCCGUGACCUGCAUUAAAGUCUUCAACGUGAUAAGGACUAUUCAGAAUUUUGAACUGGCUCCACAAACACGCCAUCCACAACAGUCUCCAGAGAAGCCCAGCUAGUGUUUCCCUUGUUCUCUGAGGACGGAGUGAACCUUCACUGAAGACCCGAUGCCUAUCUGUAUCCACAACCGCAUUACACUUGCAUGUUUCAGAAUGAAUCUCUUUCUCGGAUACAAAAACGUUUGUCCUAUCCGAUAGGAUGGCCUAUGUUUGGGGAGAUGAGGGGAGGGGUGGGGAUAAGAGUCCAGUGGAUAUUCAAGUCUCUGAUUAAUUAUGUGUAGAACCAAAUAAGUUAAACAAUGCUUCCCCCAAGACCUUCCUGUCUAGAAUUGAAGGGUGUGAAUAUCAAGAAAGCUAUCAGACAGUGGCACUCUGAACUCAGAAUUAACCCUUUUCUGCUUUGUGUGCACUGGACGUCUGAUAAGAUGUUAGCUUCCAAACUGUCCCCAGCAGGGGCCUUCAAGAAACUCAAGCCUGCAGAGAGCGAGCAGAGUCAUUUAAUUAGUCUCUUUCUUUCUCUGUUUCCUUUUUUCCUUAUUUUCCUUGUCCAUCCCUCCCUCUUUCCUUCCCCCUCUUCCUUCCCACUUCUUCCUUCCUUUCUUUCACUCUUUCUUUCCUCUUCCUUCUGAAAAGGGGCAGCAGUACCCUAAAAGAAUACCACGAAACCACUGGUACACUUUUGCACAUAGAAAAUGAUGGAUACAUGUAGACUUGAGAGUAGUCAGUUCGAGGUCACUGCCAUCUUCCUCCCUGAGGCCAGCCAAACAUCCUUUACCUAAAAGUGUCGAGGGUUCCUCUUUCCCCUCCCUGUGUUUGGACCAGAUUUAAAAACACCGGGAGACUCAGUGUAGCUCCUGUUUUCUCCUGCUCCCUCACCUUUUCCCUUCUGCUCUUUUUCCCUGACCACGACAGCAAUUACCGCUUCCCUGGGAGGCUGGAUCAGAUAGGGAUGAAAAAAGCAAGUCUUGCCUGGGAAAGCCGAAGACAAAAGGAAAUGAAUGCUUCAAUUUCUGCUUCCUUCAGGCAUAUUAAAGCAGACUAUCGCUGGGAAAAAUCUCUGAGAUAUAUUGUUAAAUUCAAAGAAGAUAUAAUUGCGGAAUAAUGUACAUCAUGUGUGAUUCCAUUUAUGCAUUUGUGCUCAGACUGCUUGUGCGUUUAUAUGCAUAUAAACUCACAGCACAAGACUCCAACUGCUAAUAGCAGUUACCUCUGGGAGUAGAUUUGGGGUGAGGGUUGGUGAAGGAGGGUGUUCACACUUUUAGACAUUUCUAGAAUAUUUGGUUCUGUAAAAUGAGAUUAACUUCUUUAGUUUUUGCUUAGAUAAAUAAUAUAUGGAUUCCAUCACAAAUAGUGAAUUCUUUAACAAUCUUUUUUAGGUCUUUUCUUUUCCUUCUGUGCUACCAGGAAGAACCAAAUUAAUUUUCUCUAUAUUUUAAAAAUUGAGAUUUCUUCACUUGAAAUACAUCCUCUGUCAUUUCGGGGUGUCAUUGUGCUUCCUGAUCAUGAUUUAAAAUAGGUUGUAAUGAAUCAUCUUCCACAGUAAGUUUGACUAAGUCAAGUGAAAAUGGU
Long non-coding RNA from Bubalus bubalis (water buffalo), 1808 nucleotides. RefSeq lists it as uncharacterized. NCBI's taxonomy places the organism in Eukaryota, Metazoa, Chordata, Mammalia, Artiodactyla, Bovidae. The transcript is spliced from 2 exons. The record is from RefSeq and is a predicted model, not a curated record.